Molecule: ribosomal RNA, 493 nt
Filed under: uncultured bacterium
Lineage: Bacteria
Description: bacterial SSU rRNA
Rfam family: Bacterial small subunit ribosomal RNA
Source: RNAcentral
AUUGAACGCUGGCGGCAUGCCUUACACAUGCAAGUCGAACGGCAGCAUGGGUGCUUGCACCUGAUGGCGAGUGGCGAACGGGUGAGUAAUGCAUCGGAACGUACCCGGAAGUGGGGGAUAACGUAGCGAAAGUUACGCUAAUACCGCAUAUUCUGUGAGCAGGAAAGCGGGGGAUCGCAAGACCUCGCGCUUCCGGAGCGGCCGAUGUCGGAUUAGCUAGUUGGCGGGGUAAAGGCCCACCAAGGCAACGAUCCGUAGCGGGUCUGAGAGGAUGAUCCGCCACACUGGGACUGAGACACGGCCCAGACUCCUACGGGAGGCAGCAGUGGGGAAUUUUGGACAAUGGGCGCAAGCCUGAUCCAGCCAUGCCGCGUGAGUGAAGAAGGCCUUCGGUUGUAAAGCUCUUUCGGCGGGAGAAAUCGCAUCUCCUAAUACGGGUGUGGAUGACGGUACCCGAAUAAGAAGCACCGGCUAACUACGUGCCAGCAGCCGG